Molecule: ribosomal RNA, 691 nt
Filed under: uncultured soil bacterium
Lineage: Bacteria
Description: bacterial SSU rRNA
Rfam family: Bacterial small subunit ribosomal RNA
Source: RNAcentral
UAGCGGCACGCCUAACACAUGCAAGUCGCACGAGAAAGGGAGCAAUCCUGAGUAGAGUGGCGCACGGGUGCGUAACACGUAGAUAACCUGCCCUUUGGAGGGGGAUAACGUUCCGAAAGGAGCGCUAAUACCGCAUAAUGCCUUUUCCGGUUCGCCGGAGAUUGACAAAGAUAGGGACCCGCAAGGGCCUAUCGCCAGAGGAGGGGUCUGCGGCCCAUCAGCUAGUUGGGGAGGUAAUGGCUCACCAAGGCAGAGACGGGUAGCUGGUCUGAGAGGAUGAUCAGCCACACUGGUACUGGAACACGGACCAGACUCCUACGGGAGGCAGCAGUGGGGAAUCUUGGUCAAUGGGCGCAAGCCUGAACCAGCGAUGCCGCGUGAGUGAUGAAGGCCUUCGGGUCGUAAAGCUCUGUGGGGCGGGACGAAAAGACAGGUUCUAACAGGACCUGAAAUUGACGGUACCGCCUUAGCAAGCACCGGCUAACUCUGUGCCAGCAGCCGCGGUAAGACAGAGGGUGCAAACGUUGCUCGGAAUCACUGGGCGUAAAGGGCGUGUAGGCGGGAAGGAAAGUCGGGCGUGAAAUCCCUGGGCUCAACCCAGGAACUGCACUCGAAACUUCUUUUCUUGAGUGCCGGAGAGGAAAGCGGAAUUCCUGGUGUAGAGGUGAAAUUCGUAGAUAUCAGGAGGAAC